This 3644-nucleotide long non-coding RNA is filed under the name Sus scrofa (pig). RNAcentral describes it as "lncRNA (ENSSSCG00035008195.1)". The record is from RNAcentral. Lineage: Eukaryota; Metazoa; Chordata; Mammalia; Artiodactyla; Suidae.
AAAAAUAUAGUUGAUUGACAGAGUUGUGUCAAUUUCUGCUAUACAGCAAAGUGACCAGGUAUACACACACACACACACACACACACACACACACACACACACACAUUCUUUUUCUCAUAUUAUCUUCCAUCAUGAUCUAUCCCAAGAGACUGGAUACAGUUCCCUGGGCUGUACAGUAGGACCCCUAUUGCUUAUCUAUUCUAAAUGUAAUAGUUUGUGUCUAUCAACCCCCAACUCCCAGUCCAUCCCACCCCCUCCCCACUCCCUCUUGGGAACUACAAGUCCAUUCUUUAUGUUUGUGAGUCUGUUUCUGUUUUGCAGGUGGGUUCUUCUGUGCCAUAUUUUAGGAUCGGCAGAGAACAAUAGCUUGAUCCUGAAUUUGUGGGUAAGGCUUUGGGAGACCAAGAACGUCAAUACUACAGGUCAAUGUGAAAAUGGCAUGACUCCUUUGAAAAUGAUUCACUCUUCGACUCAACAGUCUAAUCCUGGGAAUCCAUUCCAUAGAGGACUAGUUACCCCAAUUAUGGCACAGCCACACAACAUGGCUGUGAAAAAGAAGGGGCACACUUUUAUGUAUUGACAUGGAGCCAUCUCCAGGAUCUAUCAUGAAUUGGAGGAAAACAGAACAAAGCAAGAUGCAGAACCAUGCACACCACCUGCUUUCCUUUGGAUACAAAAUGUUUAUUUACAGCUGAUUGUUUUUCACAGAAAGACUAGAAGGAUGAACAAGAAACCAGGGAAAUGGUUAAUCUAUACAAGGUGAGGGCCAGAGAGGUCAGGGGUGAAGCUAUUGUGAUCAAAACAAUAAAAUCGAGUUUCCAAAAAUGAGACCUGAGGAGAACUCAGAUGCUCUCCCAAGAGCAGAGAAGCCAGAAUACUGAAACAUGAAGGUUGACAGACAAGCCUCUAUAGCCUUUGUCACAGUAACAGAAUGUCAGGCCUGGUGGGGGUAGGGAGGGGGAAGUCUGGAAGACACUUAGGUCAGGAUAAGAUGGAUUGAAUGAGGAGAAGGCAGAUGCUUGCUCAAGAUGACUAAGUAAGUGAUGGGGCAAGAAGACACAUGCUUACUUCCAGUUGGGUAUUUAAGUCCUGCACAUCUCAAAGCUUACUGGGGCACUGGGGCACAGUCACCGAUGUCAGCAUUGCUUUGGGUCUUCCUUAAAAAUAUUGAUCCUAUUGCCUCUCCUUCUAGGGAAUCCUAAUUAACUCAGGAAGAUACUUGCAGGUUUCUGAGGGAGGGAACCAUCCCAUGAUAAAAAGAGUCAAUGUGAUAUAUAUAUAGCAUAGGAUGGGCCAAACAAACCAAGAUAAAAGGGAGGUUUUUAAAAGACAAGUGAAAAGAUGAGGGUGAAAGGAAACACUGUUCAUGAUGCUGCUGGGGCUUCAUAAAUAGAUGAGGAUGCUGACUGGGGGGGAGGCUGGGAGCCAAUCACUAACCUUUUCUGCCUGCCCUAGAUUGAGAGCCAGCUUGGUGGAUAUGUUAGAAAGGAUACUGUCUCCUUUUCUAAUUACAUUCCUUUAAAAGUAUGCUGAUUUAUUUAUUUAUAAUACAGUUCUUGGCCUAAUUAAACAUGGAAUUUUCCCCCACUUGAUCCAGCCUCAUCAUCUUUCUGGGUAACCCAUGUAAUUGAAUCUGGAAACAAUGAUGCUGAGUGAUAGCUUGGGAUAUUGCUACUUAUUGUGAAAAUAAAUAAUAAGGAAAGAGGAGGCUGCUAGGCUGAUUUCAGGGAAGUUUAAAUCAGUUCUUUGUUACUUGGAUUGAAUUUUAACAAUAGAUAAAGAUAAUAUGAUAUUUUCCUUAAUGAAACUAUAAAACCCUGGGCAAGUUAUGAGGGAGAUUUACCUUUCUGAGGCUGUAGCUUCCAAUAUUUUGGCUCACAGUUUGCAAGGUCUCUGUGCUCUGUCCUCCCCCCACCCCAUAACUUCAACCUUAAAUUCCAGGAACUGUUCUUUUCCUGGGCAAAUUUACCAUAAUUCCAUUCACAUUUAUUUAGCACUCCGUAGGUUGACAUUUACUGUCAAAUCUAUUCCAUGAAAAGAAGGCAAGAUGGGCAUUGGGUGGCAGAAAAUCUAACAUUAUUGGUCCAGGAUCACAAAGUCUAUCUACGCAAACCCAGGUGUCCUAAUUCCCAAUUAGGGGCAUGCCCAACACUUCCAGACAAAUAGCCAAUGGAUUUUGGCUUCUAGGUUCAAAGAAGUUCCUAGAGACACCAGUAGUGUGAUUUACUGAAAGGUGCUUGACAUUUUCCAGGCAAAAGUCCUGGUUGCUGGUUACUAGGAAAUCACCCUGGUUUUUCCUGAGCUCAUCUUGGUUGUACAGUAGGAACAUGUUUCUGGGGUUUGGCUGGGUGAGGAGGGAAGGCUGGGAUGGCAGAAUGUUAGAAAUGGUCUCUGUCUUUUUUCUUCAAGUCUUAGAGCAAAAUCUCUAAAAAAACUAGAAUAGAUAUAUCUCCUUUUCUCCGCACCUCAAAGAUUCACACAUCACAUUAUCUUUUGGCAAACUGUUUUUCCUUCUUUUUUUUAGCCUCACCUGUGGCAUAUGAGAGUUUCUAGGCUAGGGGGUCGAAUCAGAGCUGCAGUUGCAGCCUAUCCACAGCCACAGCAACGCUGGAUCCAAGGCACAUCUGUGACCUACACCACAGCUUGUGGCAAUGCGGAUCCUUAACCCACUAAUCGAGGCCAGGGAUCAAACCUGCAUUCUCAUGCACACUAUGUGGGGUUCUUAAUUUGCUGAGCCACAACAGGAACUCCUCUUUUUUGCAACUUUAAUAAUUAUCUCUAGAAGGAUUUUCCUGAAUAUGAGCACUUUCUUUUUUCCAUUGACCCCAGUUCUUCAACAGAGCUCCUUCUACUGACCCAGCACUUUAAAUCCUGAGAUCGAUGUUAAUCUGCCUAGUCUUAAACACUCCUUGGACGAGUUCUGGCAAGGGAACCUUUCCAAAUGUCGCCAUGUGCUUUUUAGCCAAGUAUGAAACUCUGAGGUCCCCAAGGAAACCAAACACCUGUUGAUUAUAUUUUUCUCUGCUUUUUUUCAUCUAAUUGCAAUUUACCUACUUCCCUUGAGCAGGGUGAGGAUUCACUGCCCUUGGGUAACUUUCAAGUCUGUAAAGGAUUUCUGCCUCCUUGAGGCACGUGCUCUCUGAGACAGAAACGAAAUAAUACGAUACUUAAUGGGUAACAGCCUCAGACAGUCUGCUCUCUGUGUGAGCACUUCAGCCAUUUGCCAUGUCAUUAACACAGACAAGGCAUUGGAACCAGCCAGUGUGAGAGACCCAGACUGGAGCACCUUCCCUUCCAAAGCCCCUUGGACAAAGAGCAUCUCAACCAUCAGGUGGCUGGGCCAGGCCUGGUAUGCCACCUGGGCAGGCAGGGGGACAUGGCCGUAGGCAGAGUCCGGCACAAAUAUUUGACAGCUUGUCCCUCCCAAGGAACAUUUCCGACACCCAGAGGUUAAUGUCAUCUUAGCUGAUUCUUGGUGCUUCUGACAAGGUGUAGAGGAUAAUGCCUUGUUAUUAGAAGCUUCCCCGAGCAUCGUAGAAUGUUUUGCUGCACCCAUGGCUCUAUGCACCAGACAGCAGCACCAUGUACCCCCACACCUCUGAGUGGUGACAACCUAAAAUGUUUCCAGACAUUGCCCCAUACCC